GUCUCUCUCGCUGGCUUUUUAAAAAUGAGGAACCGCUCCUUGAAUGUUCUGGACAGAGCGCAGAAUUGCUUCUUAAGUCAGCCCGGCGCGGUUGCAAUAGACAGCAAAAAGGUAAACGUUUGCCUGAAAUCCGCACGCCAGCUCCACCACCCCGCCCGAUGGUCCCAGUUCCUCUGGGAAUCAUCCUGUAUGCAACAUCUUCACAAGAGUGGCAGGCAGUUGAAUCUCUGGCCUUCGUGGGACCACUGGACAUCUGGCAGAGAACCAGGAAACCACGGUUCCCUUCUGUGAGUCCCUCAGCCGGAAAACUACAAGCUCCUCAUGCAGCUGCUGUCUGCAGACCCCCUGGACUGCCUGGGGAAGUGAGUCGGAGCUCCUGCAGCAGAGGGGUGGAACAGCUACACGAAGAUCCGAAGGUGGCCAAAAAUAACAGCGCUUUCCAGAUGAGGGAGCAAGUUGUCCAGCACAGUGUCAUGGGACAGUGGGCCCUGGUGCCACAAUGCCUGGCAUCUCCA
RNAcentral lists this non-coding RNA (515 nucleotides) under Pan troglodytes (chimpanzee). Lineage: Eukaryota; Metazoa; Chordata; Mammalia; Primates; Hominidae. The record is from RNAcentral.